RNAcentral lists this ribosomal RNA (623 nucleotides) under Clostridioides difficile. RNAcentral's name for it is "partial 23S ribosomal RNA". It matches the Rfam family "Bacterial large subunit ribosomal RNA", at positions 683 to 1313 of the family's 2925-position model. The record is from RNAcentral. Lineage: Bacteria; Bacillati; Bacillota; Clostridia; Peptostreptococcales; Peptostreptococcaceae.
UUUAACUGAGCGUUCAGUUACUUGACGUAGACCCGAAACCGGGCGACCUACCCAUGAGCAGGAUGAAGCGAAAGUAAAAUUUCGUGGAGGUCCGAACCCACGAGCGUUGAAAAGCUCGGGGAUGACUUGUGGGUAGCGGUGAAAUUCCAAUCGAGCCCGGAGAUAGCUGGUUCUCCCCGAAAUAGCUUUAGGGCUAGCCUCAAGGUGAGAGAUACGGAGGUAGAGCACUGAAUGUCCUAGGGGGUAUUGCACCUACCGAAGACUAUCAAACUCCGAAUGCCGUCAUCUUAUACUUGGGAGUCAGACUGUGGGUGAUAAGAUUCAUAGUCGAAAGGGCAACAGCCCAGAUCGUCAGCUAAGGUCCCUAAAUGUAAGUUAAGUGGUAAAGGAUGUGGGAUUGCACAGACAACCAGGAUGUUGGCUUAGAAGCAGCCACUCAUUCAAAGAGUGCGUAAUAGCUCACUGGUCGAGUGAUCCUGCGCCGAAGAUUUCCGGGGCUAAAACUUACUACCGAAGCUACGGCAUCAGUAAUGAUGGGUAGGGGAGCUUCCCAUACGGGUUGAAGCAUGACCGUAAGGACAUGUGGACAGUAUGGGAGUGAGAAUGUUGGCAUGAGUAGCGAG